UACGUAGGGGGCAAGCGUUGUCCGGAUUUAUUGGGCGUAAAGAGCGUGUAGGCGGCUUUACAGGUCCGUUGUGAAAACUCGAGGCUCAACCUCGAGACGCCGGUGGAAACCGUAAAGCUAGAGUCCGGAAGAGGAGAGUGGAAUUCCUGGUGUAGCGGUGAAAUGCGCAGAUAUCAAGCGGAACACCGGUGGCGAAGGCGGCCUUCUGGACAGUGACUGACGCUGAGACGCGAAAGCGUGGGGAGCAAACAGG
RNAcentral lists this ribosomal RNA (253 nucleotides) under uncultured bacterium. Its description in RNAcentral is "partial 16S ribosomal RNA". It matches the Rfam family "Bacterial small subunit ribosomal RNA", at positions 524 to 776 of the family's 1533-position model. The record is from RNAcentral.